AGGAUGAACGCUGGCGGCGUGCCUAAGACAUGCAAGUCGAGUGGGUUUAGACCCACGGCGAACGGGUGAGUAAUACCUAGGAACGUAUCUUUAGUUGAGGAUAUCCUCCCGAAAGGGAGAGCAAUACUCAAUGUGAUCGCAAGAUUAAAGUCGCAAGACGCUAAAGAAGCGGCCUGGGCACCAUCAGCUAGUUGGUAAGGUAAAAGCUUACCAAGGCUAUGACGGUUAGGGGUCCCGAGAGGGAUAACCCCCACACUGGAACUGCGACACGGUCCAGACUCCUACGGGAGGCAGCAGUUUGGAAUUUUGGACAAUGGGCAAAGCCUGAUCCAGCGACGCCGCGUGGACGAUGAAGGCCUUCGGGUUGUAAAGUCCUUUUGCUCGGGAACAAUUUUUGAGCGUACCGAGAGAAUAAGAGGUUGCUAACUCUGUGCCAGCAGCCGC
Molecule: ribosomal RNA, 444 nt
Filed under: uncultured bacterium
Lineage: Bacteria
Description: SSU rRNA
Rfam family: Bacterial small subunit ribosomal RNA
Source: RNAcentral